Oncorhynchus tshawytscha (Chinook salmon) is the source of this 1658-nucleotide long non-coding RNA. NCBI's taxonomy places the organism in Eukaryota, Metazoa, Chordata, Actinopteri, Salmoniformes, Salmonidae. The record is from Ensembl.
GUGUCCUCUCUCCCGGUGUAGUGUCCUCUCUCCCGGUGUAGUGUCCUCUCUCCCGGUGUAGUGUCCUCUCUCCCGGUGUAGUGUCCUCUCUCCCCGUGUAGUGUCCUCUCUCCCGGUGUAGUGUGUCUUUCCGAACGGACGAGGCGCUGUUAAACACACACUCGAUACUUAGCGCACACCGACCGUCAUUCUCUCUCUCUGCUUGGAGUGUAUUUGGAGACCUCCAUGGCCACGGGGAGUUGAGAGGGCAAGACGGAAAGGCUUGUUGUCUUUCACGUUUUAAUACUACCCAAGUUGUCCUUAUGCCGCGUUUCACACACUACUGUUCUCGCCACUAUCCCCGAUGCGGUGGAAAACGGGGUGCGGGCUUUCAGAUACGGUAGGUUGUAUACUUUGUGCCGCUAAAUACGGGAUGUUUUGGUUUUAUUUUUUAGGUAGCUUGUUAGCCCUUUAGCCAAGCGGCGGGGGGUGAAACGUGCCUUCGCUUUCUUCUUGUGUGUUUUGAUCGGUGAUCGAAGGGGCUGGUUGCGCUUUGAUCGAUCAAACGGCGUCGGGAUGUUCGUAUCCCGACCGGGUUAGUUUAGUAAUCUGGCUCAUGUUUACUGUGUUAAAGUAGUGUGUUUCGGGCCACCUCAAGGGGCUGAGUGGAGGACAGGGAAGGCAGCAGGCCCGUCUUGUGUGGAGUUUGUUGCCUUGUACCCCCCCCCCCACCGUCUUUCGGGGAGGCCGAGAUGAAUGGGAUCUCACUUCAACGCGAUGGGAGGGAGAGGCUGGCUACGGUACCGGAGGAAGUGAGAGGACUGGACUAACCGGCUGGCUACGGUACCGGAGGAAGUGAGAGGACUGGACUAACCGGCUGGCUACGGUACCGGAGGAAGUGAGAGGACUGGACUAACCGGAUAGUUACGGUACCGGAGGAUCUAGCUAUGUUUUUGUUAAACGGGCAGCUAACUAACUAACGCGUACCGGCGACGUUAAUGUAACUAAGCUAACUAGCUAUUAGCUAACGUUAGUUAUCCACUGUUGUCUUGUUUAAUCAUAACUUCUGUUUUGAUGAGCUAUUACGGUGCUACCUAACAACUAACCGGUGGUUUAUAAUGACCGUAUAUUUCCUAACCAGUCCGGUGUUGAUCCUUGCCGUCAUUGUGGAAGUUGAAAGCAGCAUGGCUCUGCUAGCAAGUGCCAGGUACAACCUCUUUUUGAUGAGUUAUUUGAUAUUAGCUUCAAGACAUGUUCGUGGUGACGGGAGGUAACCUUCAUUCACUGUGUCUGUAGAAGGAAGACCAGCGGCUCCGUGUUUUAUAGUGUAAACAUAUCGCAGCUUAUCGUCCUGAAUCACGUUAUUAACACGACCGGACAUCCCUCCCUUGUUCCUCUUCUCUUCUGUCCUCUUUCUCUCACUCAGAUAAUAAUUAUUCUUUCAGUUUCACCUCUCCCAUCCUCUUGUCUCUCUGCUCUUCCCUCUUUUCUCCCAGGGUCAAUCUGUGAUCAGUAUGUUCAUUCUGUAGUUCAGCUCUGACUCUCUCAGGACCCCCUCUUCUCUCCUCUCUCUCUUCUGUCAGGUAGGACCAUCCCCCUCUUCUCUCCUCUCUCUCUCUUCUGUCAGGUAGGACCAUUCCUCUCUAACUCAUCCCUCUCUCUAACUCAUCCCCCUCUCU